Molecule: long non-coding RNA, 2424 nt
Organism: Prunus dulcis (almond)
Lineage: Eukaryota; Viridiplantae; Streptophyta; Magnoliopsida; Rosales; Rosaceae
Exons: 4
Source: RefSeq, a predicted model, not a curated record
AGGGGCUUCCAAUCCAAAAACCCACAAGCGCAUUUUGGCGCACAAGGGGCCUCGAAAUUCCAAAAGCAAUUGCAAAGCCAGGCUUUUAGAUUGUAGCUGAACCCCAAAACCCCAAAAAUGGCGCCUUCAGGCCUGUCUCUAUGAAUCCCCUCAGUUUUCCCCCCAAACCCCUACCAUGGACGACCCCCAAAAGGAGGACCCAGGCGAGGGGCAGAGUGGGAAUGGAAGUGUGCUGGUCAAGGACUCAAGUGAGAACGGCGAAGAAAGAAUCGUUCGUGUUGAGCUCCACAAGGAGGCCACUGAAGCGUACAUGGCCUACGCUAUGUCUGUCCUUCUCGGCCGCGCCCUGCCGGAUGUUCGCUACGGUUUGAAGCCUGUGCACCGUCGUAUUUUGUGCAUCUUGAAAACCGUUCAAGAAAUGUGCUAGAGUUGUUGGAGAGGUUAGUAAUCAGAGGCUUUCUGUUUCUUUUGUAGAAAAUGCUUUGAUGCAGGUUCAAGGAAAAUUUCAUCCCCAUGGUGACACUGCUGUCUAUGAUUCCUUGGUGCGAAUGGCUCAGUAACAAUAACUUUUUCAAUUAAGUAAAAACGGAUAAGCUAGUAGCAAAUACGAAAAAUACUUCAACCUCUGCAAUGUCUUUUUCUUGUUUUUUUUUCUGGAUGGCCUCCUUGUAGUGUUCCAUUUUUCUCAUUUGUUACAUUAUUUUAGUUUUCCCAGCUGUAGGAGUUAGUUUCUUUAGAAUAAAUCUGAAACAGUGCGAUAUAUUCUUUCUUUGUUUGCGGAUAUUUGAGUGCUGUAAUCUUGUGUUAACCAUGUCUUCUCUGGAUGAAGUAGGUUUUUUGAAAAGUGUAAUUAUAAUGGUUAUGGAUAAAUACUCUGUGCAACUUUUUGUAAUUUGUCUGGAGAUGAGUAAUAAGAUUUUUAUGAAUUAUAGUGGUGUGGGUAUGGAAGUAUUAUGGGGUAAAGUAAGAUUUUGGUCUUAACUCUGGGCUUCUGUGUCUUCGAGUUUUGGAAAGCACCUGUAAAGUCUAUUUUCCAUUAAUCUUGUUUUGCUGUUCCCGUUACGUUGAUGUAAUGUUUUGGUGGACAAUCUAUCCAGUGGAUAUAUUUAUUUUGUUUUUCAAUAUAUUUUUUUCUUACCAUAAAAAAAUAAAAAAUAAAAAAUUGUGCAUCUUUAGGCAUCCAUGGCUGGAAAUUAAAUACCAAAGAGCUUUUGAGGGAUGGAACAAUCAAUUUGGAGAAUGGAAGCUUAACAUCAUUGAUAAUUCAUUGAAUGGACAGGGACCAUCAGUUGCUGCCUCUUUUCAUGUUCUAUCUAUACGUUUAUUUGCUGUAUAUACCCGGCGAUGCCCCUUAAUGUCUUUCAUAAAAUUUCAUUACUUCUUUUAAAAAAAAAAAAAAAAAAAAAAAUCCUCGUAUCAAAUAAUUCCAACUUUCUGAAACCUUUUGUGUUUGUAAAUAUUGAUUUAUAUCAGAUUAUAAUUAGUUUUUUAGUUCACGUGGUCUCCUGAUUGCUUUGAAACUUAAUUUUCCAGGAUUUCUCCCUAUGAUUCCCACUAAUUCAUGGGCAUGGGAAUUUCAUCCUCUUUUCAAAUAAAAAACGGGUUCUGCAAUUGGAUUAUGAUCUGUUUUCAUCCUCUUUUCAGCUCAAGCAAGGAUCUGACCCAUCAAUUGUUCUGAAUAAUCUUUAUCGCCUCACAUCUCUUCAAUGCAGCUUUAGUUGUAACAUGGUUGGGCAUUGUUGUGGGCCUGGAUAAUUUGGAUGCAGUAAUUCGUAUACUAAGAGAAUCUUCCAGCAAUGCGGUUGCAUCAUCUGGUCUAAGGACGGAUUGAACAAGAAGCAAAUGAGUUAAAAAGCAAGUUUUCCAGUCCAAGGUGUUCAAUGCUGGAGGAAAUGCUUUUCCAGUCCAGAUAUUCAAUGCUUUUUUCAAGAUUUUGUUUUUAUUUAUUUUUCAUUCUAUAUGUCAUGGAAGAGAAAUAUUAGCUCUGCUAAUUGAUCCUAUUGUUGAGAGCUGUUCACUUCUUUUGACAAGCGGUUAGCCGAGUGCGGCGGCUUCAACUUCUACCUCUGGUUCCUCGUCUGGUGCUGAGAUUAAUGAAGCAGAUUGAAUCUUUCCAGCAUGAUCAAGCCGCAUCAAAAUGAGUCCCCUGAAAAAAAAAAGGAUUUGUAUAUAAUAACGAAGCAUAUUAUGCCAAUGUAUUUCAGAAUAGAACCAAAGUUGAAGUAUAGCUGGCAUAGCGAGACUGUAUAGAAAUAUCCCGCACCUUAAUUCUAUUGACUGUGUACCACUUUGGCUUACAAGAACCUCUUGUUCCAAACAUCACCUGCCAAAGGCAAACUGAAAAAGAGCAGUGAAAAAUAGGUUUAUUUCUUAUUCAGUCUUGAAUAAGGAACUUCAUAAGGCUUUGAAUAAGGAACUUCAUAA